GACAAGCCGGCGCAGAGGGCGCUGGGGUCUGGGAGUUAAUGGGAGGAGGCGGGGCUGGAAGCCAGCCCCGGGGACCGAGAUCCCGAAGCUGGCUGGGGACCUGGGUUCCGCAGACCCCGAGACGGGAAGAGAUUCCCCGGGGAUCCGAAGCCAUUCCCUUCGGAUCUAAGCCUAGAUACCCGCCGCAGCCUUCUGAUCGCCCCGAACACUCGCCUAGCAAACCCAUCGUCUCCAUGGGCGGCUCCCACUCCCUACCGCCCCUUCCCCAGCAGGCUGCUUUGGCGUUGGGUAAAAUAAAGCUCAAGAGCGCCCUCGCCGGGCUAUGGCCUGAGCGCAGCUUCCAGAGCCGCCGCGUGCGAAGCUGCGAGCCCGUAGGCGGGCGGGGCGACCAGUGCGACCCUCUGGACGCCGCUCCCCAGCUGCCGGCUGCCAAGAGAUGGGUCUGCCCAGAACCGUUCAGCGAAGGCAAAGAGGCGACCGGUCCUCUGCACUCGCGGAAAUGAGCAUCACUAAUGGGAGGGGGCUACUGAGGAGCGGAGGCUACGGCCGCUUGUCCUCCCCGGAGGAGGCCGCGGGACAGGCGGACAGGGGUGGGAGUGGCGCUCGGAGCGCCGGCAGCUCGGCCAGAGGGUGGGGGAUGGGCUCCCAGAAGCUCCAGCCGGAGGCCGGUGCAGCGACAUCUCGCAGCCCAUCAGCUCCGUCCAGCCUGUGGUUUCCAGCAGUGGGAGCUCCGCUGUCCUCUCCUGGACCCUGUGCUUCCCCAGACUCCUGUUCCUGCGAGCAGCGGGGGUGAGACCCCAGCUGGUGUUGCAGACAGCCUAUCACCUUUCCCUCGGACUCCAGGUGUCGAAGGGUGGUGGUCAAGGUGGGGCCACUGCCAGCGACCUGAACACACAGGGAGCUGGGACCUCCCAGGAACAGAGACAGAUAGCACAGAGCCUGGCCUGGGGCCUCUCUUGCCAGGUUCCCAGGGAGGGGGCUGCUCUCUGUGGCCACAGUAGGCCGGGUCUCUGUGCAACCCAUCCUCUGUCCCUGGCCUGGGUCCCCAGGAAGCAACCUGCAGGGAGAUGAGCUGUCCUGCUGGACGUCCUGGUCCCCACCCCCUCCCCUGCUGCUCUCAUGUUCAGAUGUGCCUUGUUCUCUGGAGAGGACCUAGGCCUGCUGGGCCUGGCAGGCUAGGCUGUCCCCCACCACCACCUUGUGCUGCUCUCUCCGGGUCUCUGCAUCCCUCACUCUGUCUUUGCUCUCCCCACUCAGCUUGAGGUUUCCUCUUUCUCUCCCCCAUCCCUGUCUCCCCCCACAAGCCCUCCCCAGCAGACACAUAGACUCCAAGGCAGCCUGUGGUGUGGGCACCUCAUACCCAAACCCCCACAGAAUGAACACGCUCAGUCUACAAGCUUCACCCCAUGAACAUGCCCCUGAUUCACCCUACUAUCCCAUCAUGUGAGGAAGGGGAGCCCCACCCAGUGUAGGCCCUGCUUAUGUGCAGCUAGGGUACCUGUGUGUCCAGUGUGUGUCCAUCCACACACAGCUCACUCAUACACACACACACACACACACACACACUCAGGCCUCCUCUGCAAGGGUGGCUGGAAGGAGGGGUCCACACAUGUGAUGACAGCUGUCUCUUCUCUGGGGUGAGUUGGCUGAACUGUGACCUGGAAGGCCCAGGGCCAGCAGGCUCACCCUCCCUCUGGUGUGAGGUGGCACCCAUGACAGGUGUAUCUCCACCUCCCUUUCUGAUGCUACAAGCUCCACAUCAGGAUAAGUGAAGAGUCUCCUGUGGCCUCUAUCUCUGCGCCCCACAGGGGGCUCUUAUGUCCUCGAUUGGGCCCAGAAAAUGGUACCCAGAGAAAGAUGGUGACAGUCUCUUCCUGUAUCCAGAACUUCACAAAGAGAGCAACAAACACUCACCCAUAAAACCAAAAAGCUGUCAAAGAAAUACUGUGUCUGGUUUAUGUCCCAGGCAAAUGGUCAUUUUUCCAUAUGUAAAGAGUUCUUACAAAUCAAUAAGAAAAAUAGCAAAGCAAAAAUAUGGGUGGAGGUUACAAACAGAGAGGAAUUUAAUGAAAAAGUGCCCUCUCGGGGCCAGGGAUUUAGCUCAGUGGUUCAGUUGCCUGCCUUGCAAGCUCAAGGACCCAUGUUCGAUCCCUGGUACCAAAAAAAAAAGAAAGAAAGAAAAGAAAAAGUGCCCUCUCUUAACUAUAGAGUUGCAAACUGAAACUUCUCUGGGAUGAUUUUUCACUCACCAGAUGCACAAAGAUGAGAAAGUGCAAUGACACAAUUUAAAAGCUACAGCCAGGGAGUUAGCUGAGUGGUUCCUCCACCUGCCUCACAAAUGCAAGGACCCAAGUUCGAUCCCCAGUACCAAAAAAAAAAAAAAAAAACUAAAAACAGUUUAAAAGCAACUGAAGGGUAGGGAAGUAGACGUCCUGGAAACCAGUGGUUCAGAAUUCCAGAUACGCACACCCUUUGGCCCAGCAUUUACUUCUAGGAAUGUGUCCUCCAGAUACCUGUCAGGAAUGUGAGAAGUGAUGUACUGUGUUAUUUGCUGAAGUACUCUCCAUAAUAGCCGUAGAUUGGAAGUGUCCUAAAUGCCCACAGACAGGAGUGGGCUCAGAUGUGUCCUGGCACACAUGGCCAUGGACUAGCGAGCUGACUUGAAUCCAUCUCCAAAAUUCCGAAGGGGGUGGGAGGGGUGGGCAGAAGAGAAUUCGCUUUGUAAAAUAUUAUGUAUAAUUUAUUUACAAUGAAAUGCAGUCAUGUUUUCUUUGGUUCUAUGCACAUUGUUAAUAAAGUUCUGUGAGUUUUGACAAAUGCAUACAUUUGCUAUAAUCGCCACUUCUGUCAAAAUACUAAGCACCAACAUCACCCCAGAAGUAAGACUUGACUUGUCACGGUACACCCAUGAAUGCUGUUUGAAUUUGACACCAUGUACAGAUACUUCCCCU
Molecule: long non-coding RNA, 2951 nt
Filed under: Fukomys damarensis (Damara mole-rat)
Lineage: Eukaryota; Metazoa; Chordata; Mammalia; Rodentia; Bathyergidae
Description: lncRNA (ENSFDAG00000029477.1)
Source: RNAcentral